UGUAUAUAUAGGGCAAUUAAAAUAAAUGAAGUUUUUUGGUAUAGAUCAAUCCCCAGACUUUGGGUCGUAAGGCAACACUUCUCUUGCGAUAGUAACUUCUAGUAUUAGUCUAACCUCAAUAUUAGAGUCAUUUAGUAUAAUGAAAAGUCAGUAUACAAUUUGCUCCAUCAAUCUAUCAUUUAUAUAAGUUUAUCAGAAAAAAAAGUAGCACGAGAAAAGGUGCCCGUCAUUCAUAUUAUCUAUUCAUCUAUUCCAGGUGUCUCAACAACUUUGUAAUUUUUGCGCAUCAGCGAUAGGGACAACCUCAAUGAGCGCAUAAAUAAGAGACAAAACAAGGCCGAUAAAGUUUAUAAAUUUCACAUCCUGACAGUAGUAAUGAGAAGAGUCUCCGUGACGACAUCCACACAGGUUUUUUGAAAAGCAAACGCUCUGCAUAAUAGCACCACAACAGCAACAGCAAGUGAAGCCAUAAUCCAUGGAAUUCCAACAGUCUCUUGCGCCAAUGUUGUAGGAUACAAUGCCGGCCUGAAUCACAUUCACCACCCCCUCCAGCACAAAAAAAUUAAGCUCGGGCAAGAGAACUCUUGAGACGUUGAUUUUCCCAAUAUCGGGUGGUUGAAGCAUUUUGCGAAAAGCGUUCAAUAAGCGAUUCAGAGAAACCAAGUUAAACAGGACACCGCACAGGCAUAAUAUUGACAGUAUAGCAUCCAGAACGGAAUUUGGAUCCUUAAAGCAGUAGUGGUAGUACAAGUCACAGCCAAUAUCCAGCAUACGGUGAACAAACAAGAAAAGAGCCCAAAUUUUAAGCAGUCGUUCGACCAUGAUGCAUUAAUGGUUUACCAAACAGUGCGCCACUUGCUGUUGUAGUGUUAAUUUGAUUGCAUAUUCAAAAUUGCAAGCAAAGUUGUUUUCUAAGGGUUGGGAACCCCCCCUGACACGUAUACAAUCCGAAAAUGUGAUCAGUCGCAAAAUGAACGUAAUAAAAGAUAAAUUAAACUUUAUAAAUUAUAGUGAAACAACCAUGCUGGCGGCUUGUUGUAUAUAGGCAUGUCAUGUUGUCAUGUACAAUUUCAGCAAAUUUAAAUUUACAAAAUUCACUAAGGCUCAAUGACUUUUCAAGGUGGUAGUGACGACAUUAAAACUGUCUUGACGAAACCAAAAAUAGACAAAAUAAGCUGUCACUGUAUAAUUCUGAGUAUCCAAAUUCCAAGAAAAAGUACCCAGAAAUAUGACCCUGUAAGCCAGGUUUCCACUUCAAGCGUACCGUACCGAAGCAUAUCAAAAACAUUUUAAUUGGUUAAUGUUGAUUGGUUAAUACUUACGUAGUAUACAUGGCGUGCUUAUGCGAUACCACGAUAAGGUAUUCUCAUAAGCACGCCCAUAUAUAUACCAAAAUCCAGUAUGCUCAUGAGCAUGACCAGUAUCACCGAAUUUUGGUAGUAGUACGCCAAAAAGUUGACUUGCAACGAACUUUCAAUUUUGAUACGCGAAUCAACCGAAUUUAUUAACCUCUUCUCAAUCUACGCAUGCUCACCAGUACGUUUCGGUACGGUAUGGUUCAAGUGGAAAAAACUUUACACCGCAUACCAGAUGAUCUUGAUACGCGGAAAAGUACUGGCAC
Molecule: non-coding RNA, 1621 nt
Organism: Paramuricea clavata
Lineage: Eukaryota; Metazoa; Cnidaria; Anthozoa; Malacalcyonacea; Plexauridae
Source: the annotation of a GenBank genome assembly